Molecule: long non-coding RNA, 696 nt
Organism: Vigna radiata var. radiata (mung bean)
Lineage: Eukaryota; Viridiplantae; Streptophyta; Magnoliopsida; Fabales; Fabaceae
Exons: 3
Source: RefSeq, a predicted model, not a curated record
UACAAAAUUGGUUCAUUGGUUCUUCCCUUUUCCCAAUUUCAUUAUUGGAAAUUCCAAGAACUUUCUUGGAAUGUUUCAUCUGGAAAUUAAAAUGAUUCUCCCUACCGUUGUCUUUUUCAUCUAACAAGCUACUUCUGCAACUUUGGAGGGGUACUUCUGAAGUUUUCUUUCUCACUUUUUCCAGAUAAGGUCGUGGUCCAGGAGAAUACUUGCUGCCAUCAAGUAUCCACUUUUUGAGUGAUGAGUGCACUAGCUCAAGCGCAAUGAUGUUUUCAAGAUGAUAUUCCUGCCAAGAAGCAAGGUAGUUUGGCAAAGAGAGACGAAAUCAUUUAGGACAUUGAUAAUGCAUUUAUAAGGUGACAACUUUGACCCUUGGGACUCGAUAGAGAGACAUUUGCUGAACCUAAGCUCAAAGACGGAGUAGGACUGUGUUUGUGCGAAUGAGGCGCAUAAAUCCAAUACUAGCGAUAAUGGUCCCUUGGCUAAAUGCAGAAAAUAUAACUUUACAGACUGCACUGUUGGCUAGGAGAUAUCCUGAGUGUGAGCAAACAAAAAUAAUAGCUACACUACGAAUAUAAUUCACUUUUCAGGUACAUGGAGCUAGGAGUGGGCAAAAGUAAUUCAACUGAACUAUUUUCUAGUUCAAUUAUGUUGUAGUAGAGUUCAUUUAACUAGUUUCUAGUUUAUCACAUUACA